RNAcentral lists this ribosomal RNA (300 nucleotides) under uncultured fungus. RNAcentral describes it as "SSU rRNA". It matches the Rfam family "Eukaryotic small subunit ribosomal RNA", at positions 1352 to 1658 of the family's 1831-position model. The record is from RNAcentral. Lineage: Eukaryota; Fungi.
UAAAUAGCCAGGCCGGCUUUUGCUGGUCUCCGGCUUUUUAGAGGGACUAUCUGCGUCUAGCCGAUGGAAGUUUGAGGCAAUAACAGGUCUGUGAUGCCCUUAGAUGUUUUGGGCCGCACGCGCGCUACACUGACAGAGCCAGCGAGUUCUUCUCCUUGGCCGGAAGGUCUGGGUAAUCUUGUGAAACUCUGUCGUGCUGGGGAUAGAGCAUUGCAAUUAUUGCUCUUCAACGAGGAAUUCCUAGUAAGCGUGAGUCAUCAGCUCGCGUUGAUUACGUCCCCUGCCCGUGACAACCGCCCC